CUGUGCAUUCAAGUGGGAAGCUAAACAAUGUCAAAGUGAAGAAAAUGAAUCACAUAACGUGCAGAAAAUCAAAUCCACCCAUAAGAACCUUUCUGUCAGGAGUGAGCUCCCUGAAUUUGGAGGGGACGACCAAAAGACACGCCGACACCAUGAAGCUGCAGGGAGGUUUCCUUCAGGAAGCUUCUCUAGGAUUGUAUCAUCCACAGAUAUAAUACAGAUCCAAGGGAUGAAACGCAUCUCCUACAAGGACAGGCUGAGUGAGCUGGAGCUGUACAGCCUGGAAAAGAGAAGGCUCUGGAGAGACCUUAUAGCAGGCCUUUGGUAUCUGAAGGAGGUCUGUAUGAAAGAAGGGG
RNAcentral lists this long non-coding RNA (353 nucleotides) under Phasianus colchicus (ring-necked pheasant). RNAcentral describes it as "lncRNA (ENSPCLG00000001703.1)". Lineage: Eukaryota; Metazoa; Chordata; Aves; Galliformes; Phasianidae. The record is from RNAcentral.